GGGGAUAACGUUUGGAAACGAACGCUAAUACCGCAUGAUAUUAUUGAGCUGCAUGGCUUGAUAAUCAAAGGAGCAAUCCGCUGAAAGAUGGGCUCGCGUCCGAUUAGGUAGUUGGCGGGGCAACGGCCCACCAAGCCGACGAUCGGUAGCCGGACUGAGAGGUUGAACGGCCACAUUGGGACUGAGACACGGCCCAGACUCCUACGGGAGGCAGCAGUGAGGGAUAUUGGUCAAUGGGGGAAACCCUGAACCAGCAACGCCGCGUGAGGGGAGACGGUUUUCGGAUUGUAAACCUCUGUCCUCUGUGAAGAUGAUGACGGUAGCAGAGGAGGAAGCUCCGGCUAACUACGUGCCAGCAGCCGCGGUAAUACGUAGGGAGCAAGCGUUGUCCGGAUUUACUGGGUGUAAAGGGUGCGUAGGCGGCUUUGCAAGUCAGAAGUGAAAUCCAUGGGCUUAACCCAUGAACUGCUUUUGAAACUGCAGAGCUUGAGUGGAGUAGAGGUAGGCGGAAUUCCCGGUGUAGCGGUGAAAUGCGUAGAGAUCGGGAGGAACACCAGUGGCGAAGGCGGCCUGCUGGGCUCUAACUGACGCUGAGGCACGAAAGCGUGGGUAGCAAACAGGAUUAGAUACCCUGGUAGUCCACGCUGUAAACGAUGAUUACUAGGUGUGGGUGGACUGACCCCAUCCGUGCCGGAG
This 696-nucleotide ribosomal RNA is filed under the name uncultured bacterium. RNAcentral describes it as "bacterial SSU rRNA". It matches the Rfam family "Bacterial small subunit ribosomal RNA", at positions 139 to 851 of the family's 1533-position model. The record is from RNAcentral.